Molecule: ribosomal RNA, 219 nt
Filed under: uncultured Rikenellaceae bacterium
Lineage: Bacteria; Pseudomonadati; Bacteroidota; Bacteroidia; Bacteroidales; Rikenellaceae
Description: partial 16S ribosomal RNA
Rfam family: Bacterial small subunit ribosomal RNA
Source: RNAcentral
GUGAGAAGGGGGGGGAUGACGUCAAAUCAGCACGGCCCUUACUCCGGGGCGACACACGUGUUACAAUGGUAGGUACAGAGGGGCGCUAUCCAGCGAUGGAGUGCGAAUCUCAAAAACCUAUCUCAGUUCGGAUCGGAGUCUGCAACUCGACUCCGUGAAGUUGGAUUCGCUAGUAAUCGCGCAUCAGCCAUGGCGCGGUCGAAUACGUUCCCGGGCCUU